Oncorhynchus tshawytscha (Chinook salmon) is the source of this 1225-nucleotide long non-coding RNA. The record is from Ensembl. Lineage: Eukaryota; Metazoa; Chordata; Actinopteri; Salmoniformes; Salmonidae.
UGAGGAUCUUCUGAGCUGUUUCUCUCACAAAAACAUCUGGAAAGAUCAUACGAUGGAGAUGGGAGCUGGAUGGAUGUCGUAGCUAGGCCAUGGUCAGGUCAGGCCUUGGCCGACUCUACACCUCAUCUCAGGAGUCCACUUUAUAAAUGUGCUAACUUCAAAGGCGAUAUAUGUCCCAAAGGUUUCUACUGUCCUGUAGGAUCGGCUUACCCUCAGCCCUGUGACACUGGCUUCUACUGUGGUCAGACUGGCCUGGAAGCCCCCAGUGGCCUCUGUACCCCAGGCUAUUUCUGCUCCAGGGGUUCCACGACCCCUCACGCCUCACUCUGCCCCCCUGGACACUACUGCCCCCAGGGCACACCUCUCCCUCUACCUUGCCCUCCUGGAACCCUGAAGGGUCGAUCAGGCGGGUCCACAGUGGACGAUUGCCAGCCUUGCCCCCCUGGUCAUUACUGCGAUCAGAUAGGCUUGGCCGGGCCCAGCGGUCAGUGUGCUGCUGGCUACUACUGUCCUGGGGGACAGAGCACUGAUAGACCGUCACAACAUGUGUGUGGAGUUGGUCAUUUCUGCAAGGAGGGUAGCGUGAGAGAGAGAGCCUGUGCCCCAGGCAGCUACCAGCCUAGUGAGGGUCAGCACCGAUGUGAGGUGUGUCCUUCUGGCUUCUACUGUCUUGAAGAAGGAAGGACACACUUGGUUCCAUGCGGAAGAGGAUUCUAUUGUCCACGUGGAACAGCCAAUCAGCAUCCUUGUCCAUCCGGGACCUAUGGAAACUUAUCAGGAUUGGCUGACGAAUCGGAAUGCUCUUUGUGUGAACCGGGGAUGUACUGUAAAGGAACAGGGAGAAAUUACCCCAGUGGUCCAUGCAGUGCAGGGUUUGUGUGUUUUGGGGCCGCCUCUCAACCCUCCCCCUCAGACAACAUCACAGGCGCUCCAUGUCCUCCUGGAUUCCACUGUCCUGUUGGAAGCUCCGUACCAAUGCCCUGCCCUAAAGGCACAUUCAGUGAGCAAAGUGGACUAACGGAGCCCUCCCAGUGUCGUAGAUGUGUUCCAGGGUUCUACUGUGCAGAGCCAGGCCUUAAAGCAGUCACUGGAGCCUGUCUGCCAGGUUUCUACUGUUUGGAAGGGUCCCAGAGUGCUGCCCCGAUGUCAGGUGUAUUUGGAGGUGUUUGCAACCCAGGCCACUACUGUGAGAGUGGGACCAGUGUGCCUGCAUCCUGCCCUGCUG